CCGAGACUCAGUGAAAUUGAUCUCGCUGUGAAGAUGCAGUGUACCCGCGGCAAGACGGAAAGACCCCGUGAACCUUUACUAUAGCUUGACACUGAACAUUGAGCCUUGAUGUGUAGGAUAGGUGGGAGGCAACGAAGCGUGGACGCCAGUCUGCGCGGAGCCAUCCUUGAAAUACCACCCUUUAACGUUUGAUGUUCUAACCCGGGUCCAUAAUCUGGAUCGGGGACCGUGUCUGGUGGGUAGUUUGACUGGGGCGGU
This 258-nucleotide ribosomal RNA is filed under the name Morganella morganii. RNAcentral's name for it is "partial 23S ribosomal RNA". It matches the Rfam family "Bacterial large subunit ribosomal RNA", at positions 2026 to 2283 of the family's 2925-position model. The record is from RNAcentral. Lineage: Bacteria; Pseudomonadati; Pseudomonadota; Gammaproteobacteria; Enterobacterales; Morganellaceae.